AGUGAACGCUGGCGGCAGGCCUAACACAUGCAAGUCGAGCGGCAGCGCGGGGGCAACCCUGGCGGCGAGCGGCGGACGGGUGAGGAAUUCGUCGGAAUCUGCCUUUUUGUGGGGGAUAACGUUGGGAAACUUACGCUAAUACCGCAUACGUCCUACGGGAGAAAGUGGGGGACCGCAAGGCCUCACGCAGAAAGAUGAGCCGACGACCGAUUAGCUAGUUGGUGGGGUAAAGGCCCACCAAGGCGACGAUCGGUAGCUGGUCUGAGAGGAUGAUCAGCCACACUGGGACUGAGACACGGCCCAGACUCCUACGGGAGGCAGCAGUGGGGAAUAUUGGACAAUGGGCGCAAGCCUGAUCCAGCCAUGCCGCGUGUGUGAAGAAGGCCUUCGGGUUGUAAAGCACUUUUGUCCGGAAAGAAAUCCCUGGAGCUAAUACCUUCGGGGGAUGACGGUACCGGAAGAAUAAGCACCGGCUAACUUCGUG
This 484-nucleotide ribosomal RNA is filed under the name uncultured bacterium. Its description in RNAcentral is "partial 16S ribosomal RNA". It matches the Rfam family "Bacterial small subunit ribosomal RNA", at positions 29 to 507 of the family's 1533-position model. The record is from RNAcentral.